CAGUCGCCGCGGGAAUACGAAGGGUGCAAGCGUUACCCGGAAUUACUGGGCGUAAAGCGUGCGUAGGUGGUGGUUUAAGUCCGUUGUGAAAGCCCUGGGCUCAACCUGGGAAUUGCAGUGGAUACUGGGUCACUAGAGUGUGGUAGAGGAUAGUGGAAUUUCCGGUGUAGCAGUGAAAUGCGUAGAGAUCGGAAGGAACAUCUGUGGCGAAGGCGACUAUCUGGGCCAACACUGACACUGAGGCACGAAAGCGUGGGGAGCAAACAGGAUUAGAUACCCCUGUAGUCCCUGUCUCUUAUAC
RNAcentral lists this ribosomal RNA (301 nucleotides) under uncultured bacterium. RNAcentral's name for it is "partial 16S ribosomal RNA". It matches the Rfam family "Bacterial small subunit ribosomal RNA", at positions 509 to 807 of the family's 1533-position model. The record is from RNAcentral.